Cyprinus carpio carpio is the source of this 1063-nucleotide long non-coding RNA. The record is from Ensembl. Lineage: Eukaryota; Metazoa; Chordata; Actinopteri; Cypriniformes; Cyprinidae.
AACAAAUAGCAUUUUGCUACACAAGAUGUUAAUUGAUGAACUGGAGUUGUGGAUUACUACGAUUUUUUAUCAGCUGUUUGGACUCUCAUUCUAACGGCACCCAUUUACUGCAGAGGAUCCAUUGGUGAGAAAGUGAUGCUAAAGUUAUCCAAAUCGGUUCAGAUGAAGUAACAAAAUCAUCUACAUCUUUCAGCAAAUUUUCAUUUUUGGGUGAACUAUACUUUUAAAGGACUCGAAUCACUUAGUGGACUGCAGAAAAAAUUCAAUUCCAUAACAGCUGAUGGUGGUUUAUAAAGGUGAACGUUCUGCAGGUGUGUUCGCUUUUUUUUUUACCCAAAACUCCUAAAUGAGCCCAUCUGUUGAGAAGCUGUGUUGUUAUGCAGAGCUAAAAAUAGCCGUCUGUCUCCAUGGAGAGCUAAAGGUUGAAUGGAUGCCGGAUGGACAGGUGUUUGAUUGCUGUGGUUGUUGGCUGUGUGGGACCUGGUUAUAUGGGGCUGCUCAAGGGACUGCAGUAAUUAAAUUCGUACCUGUGGAGUCAUUGCACCGUACAGCAGAGCCCACAGAGGAGCUUAGAUGUCGGUGUUCAUGACACUGCAGUCAAACGAGUCUAUUAAAAUGCUUUCUGCGCUUCUGGAUGUUUCCUAUAAAGAAAGAAAACAAGAUGCAGGUCAGAUACCGCUUCUGUUUAGUUCUUCUGAAAGUCUACAGUUUCACAAGGAAAUGUCACCAAAGCAUUAUUCAGUCCAGUUCAGUUCUUUUUAGAGAUUUGGUAAAGCUUUGGUUGUGUUUGGACCUUGUCUUAAUUAAACUUCUUACAUCGCAAUAACUACUAUAUAAUUUAUUCCAGUUAAAUAUUUUUUUAUAAAAAAAAAAAAAAAAAAAAAAAAAUGAAAACGAAAAUAAAAAACAAUUACAUUUCUGAAUAAAACAUUAAAAUUUUCACUGUAAGGAACUAUUUCUACCUGUCUGUUAAAGCCAGGUUGAUUUCACCAUAAUAAAUAACAUUUUGACUUAUAUAUAAACUAUAAUAUAACCAACUACUUCAGUAAUUACAACACAAAAU